This 352-nucleotide unclassified non-coding RNA is filed under the name soil metagenome. RNAcentral's name for it is "partial contains 5.8S ribosomal RNA, internal transcribed spacer 2, and large subunit ribosomal RNA". The stretch from base 1 to 120 matches the Rfam family "5.8S ribosomal RNA", at positions 35 to 154 of the family's 154-position model. The record is from RNAcentral.
GAUGAAGAACGCAGCGAAAUGCGAUAAGUAAUGUGAAUUGCAGAAUUCAGUGAAUCAUCGAAUCUUUGAACGCACAUUGCGCCCGCCAGUAUUCUGGCGGGCAUGCCUGUUCGAGCGUCGUUACAACCCUCAGGCCCCCGGGCCUGGCGUUGGGGAUCGGCGGAGCCCCCCGUGGGCACACGCCGUCCCCCAAAUACAGUGGCGGUCCCGCCGCAGCUUCCAUCGCGUAGUAGCUAACACCUCGCGACUGGAGAGCGGCGCGGCCACGCCAUAAAACACCCAACUCUUCUGAAGUUGACCUCGAAUCAGGUAGGAAUACCCGCUGAACUUAAGCAUAUCAAUAAGCGGAGGA